UAGUACUGCGAGUGAAGCGGGAAGAAGCUCAAAUUUAAAAUCUGGCRGUUCUGCUGUCCGAGUUGUAAUCUGUAGAAGCAUUUUCUGCRUUGGACUGUGUACAAGUCUCUUGGAAUAGAGYGUCAUAGAGGGUGAGAAUCCCGUCCAUGACACAGAAUACCAAUGCUAUGUGAUAUGCUCUCAAAGAGUCGAGUUGUUUGGGAAUGCAGCUCAAAAUGGGUGGUAAAUUCCAUCUAAAGCUAAAUAYWGGCGAGAGACCGAUAGCGAACAAGUACCGUGAGGGAAAGAUGAAAAGCACUUUGGAAAGAGAGUUAAACAGUACGUGAAAUUGUUGAAAGGGAAACGCUUGAAGUCAGUCACAUUCUGUAGAACUCAGCCUUGCCUAUUAGGCCUGGUGUAUUUUCUGCAGGAUGGGUCAACAUCAAUUUUGGUCAGUGRAUAAAGGAGGAAGGAAUGUGGCACCUGUGAAGGUGUGUUAUASCCUUCUUUCAUAUACAUUGACUGGGAUUGAGGAACUGCAGCAUGCCCUUGUGGCCAGGCCUUCAUGUUACAUGCUUAGGAUGUUGACAAAAUGGCUUUAAGCGACCCGUCUUGAAMCCC
Molecule: ribosomal RNA, 600 nt
Filed under: Coltricia sp.
Lineage: Eukaryota; Fungi; Basidiomycota; Agaricomycetes; Hymenochaetales; Hymenochaetaceae
Description: eukaryotic LSU rRNA
Rfam family: Eukaryotic large subunit ribosomal RNA
Source: RNAcentral